GACGAACGCUGGCGGCGUGCUUAACACAUGCAAGUCGAACGAUGAAGUUCCUUCGGGAAUGGAUUAGUGGCGAACGGGUGAGGAACACGUGAGAAACCUGCCUUUCAUUUUGGGAUAACUCCGGGAAACCGGGGAUAAAACCGAACACCCCGUAUCGGCCGCAUCGCUGAGCCGGGAAAACAUUUUGAUGAAAGAAGGUCUCGCGGCCUAUCAGAUAGUUGGUGAGGUAAUGGCUCACCAAGGCAACGACGGGUAGCCGGCCUGAGAGGGCGACCGGCCACACUGGGACUGAGACACGGCCCAGACUCCUACGGGAGGCAGCAGUGGGGAAUAUUGGGCAAUGGGCGCAAGCCUGACCCAGCGACGCCGCGUGAGGGAUGAAGGCCUUCGGGUUGUAAACCUCUUUCAGUAGGGAAGAAGCGAAAGUGACGGUACCUAAAGAAGAAGCACCGGCUAACUAUGUGCCAGCCGCCGCGGUAA
RNAcentral lists this ribosomal RNA (480 nucleotides) under uncultured bacterium. RNAcentral's name for it is "partial 16S ribosomal RNA". It matches the Rfam family "Bacterial small subunit ribosomal RNA", at positions 28 to 523 of the family's 1533-position model. The record is from RNAcentral.